This 2955-nucleotide long non-coding RNA is filed under the name Gadus morhua (Atlantic cod). Its description in RNAcentral is "lncRNA (ENSGMOG00000034986.1)". The record is from RNAcentral. Lineage: Eukaryota; Metazoa; Chordata; Actinopteri; Gadiformes; Gadidae.
AUGAUAACUAUUAAAUAUAAUUAUUUUUCUUAUCGUGAAUACAAGUGGGCCUUAUUUCGGGUGCUCAUUUGUAUUAAUAAAACAAAACAGCCACACCCACACACGCGUGCAUGCUUUCUUGCGAGCGGUUUCCGCCCAGUAUUCGGUGGAUCCAUAUUUAAUUUUGUGUCCGGGCUGGUGAGUCCACGCCUCUCUCUCUUUUCCCAGCUCCCUCUUACUCACUCUCUCUCUCUCUCUCUCGCUCCCUACUGUCAUCUCCAAGCAUGACAUUGAUUCGGCCUGGUGGAAAUAGGGGCUGCAUAUUUCCCUCCCUUUUUUGGAUGAGGAUUAUGAAGCGGGAUGAUUGGAGUUGGUGUGUGUAUGUGUGUGUUGGGGGGACUGGUGGUGGGGACGGCGGGCGGUGGUGUUUGGUGGGAAAACUUUAAGCCCAAAUAAAAUCUUGUCAAAGCAAAUAAAAGUAUUUUCUUUUAAGGGGCGCAUAAUGAGGACCUUUCAGGGGACGGCCAAUACCCGGGCGCCCAGGGGCCUGGGAGUCAGACGGUGGUUUAAUUGAACUCAUGCUGGGACUAGAGGUGAGGAGACAGGCCGAGAGACAGAGGGAGACAGAGGGAGAGACACUGGCAGUGACAGGCCUUGAGAGAGAGACGGGGAGAGCAAGAGUGACACACACACAAUGAGAGCCAGGCAGCCCCGGAGAAAGCAAACUGAUAAAAUCCCGGCAGAGCGAGAUCCAAUCUGUCUAUUUUUCUCAUAUCCGUUAUCUUUCCACAGAAUAGUGUAUAACCUUCCACCACUUCACUGAUCCGGCUUUCUCCACAUUUAUUGCGCCAUUUGAAUUCGCCGUUAAUCCCACCGUAUUUACGCUUUCCACAAGGCUUCCAUCAAGCAGUCUCUCAUUGUCCUCAAGGGGGACGCUUUCAUUAUUUUUAAUUCCUCUUUACGUCCAAUUAAACGAACGGCAUGCGCUGGAGCCGGAGGUGGAGAGCGCCCUAAACGGAGGGGACGGCGGCCCACGCAGAGACAAUGGGAGGCGAUAACGAUGAAGGGCCGGAUGAAGAACAAGAGCACAGCGCCGACGAAGGAUAGAGAGCACAGGAGGGACGCGCUGCUUCUGUCGCCGUUUGAUUAUAGAUGGGCGGAUAAGAGGAAACGCUUUGAAUCCAUCUGAGGCAACGAACGAACGACGGGCCGUGGGCCAAAGCCAUCCAGAGAAGAGGGGGUGUGUAAUUAGCGACACCACUGGGGUUUCCAAAAAGGCCAAAGCCAUCGCGCCCGUCCCUCCCAUUCUUAAUUUCUCUUUCUUUUUUCGGCCAAUGAAAAACCCCACUUAGGAGAAGAUGAGGAAAGGAAAGGCGAGAGUUGAUUUAUGAUUGAUAAAAAGGGGGGGAUGAUGAGAUGAGGAGGAAGCAGAAGAAGAUGAGGAAAAAUCGAUAUCAUUUAGCCGCUUAGCGUAGAAUACACUGUUGGUUUUAAAUGAUUCCACAUCAUUAAGUAGCUCGAUGAGCAUUAAUAUGCCAAACACCGGCGUUUGAGCAUGAGUAAUGUGGCCCGGGCCAAUGGUUCUCCAGGGGGAAGGAUCGAGGUAAAGUGAUCUCAGCAACUCGUUUGUCUUUCUCUCUGCCUUUCUUUCCCUCUCUGUCUUUCUCUCCCUCUGCCUUUCUUUCUCUCUUGGUUUCUUUCUCUCUUUCUGGCUGUAUCUGCCUCUGCUGCUGCCCUGCAAGCCCCACUUUCAGAAUACGCCCUCUUGUGGACACACCAGCCACUGCACCCUGGAGGCAGUGAACACAUCGGCUACCCCUAUCACUUUUGGGACACUGGUUUGAAAAAUAACAAAUAACUAAUUACCGGUACUACACUGGGCACUUUGUUUUCCUGUGCUACCACGCGCAAAUACAAAUUUGGAACGCUGUUAGCUUUUUCAAAAAAAAAAAAGAAUUUCUGAAAAUAUUAUCUCAUUACUGUUAAAGAAAAGCCUGCCUUUGUUCUGUUGUUAACCCGUCAAACUGGGAGUUCUGGGUAUGGUGCUAUUUGCUUUAUGCUAGGCUCAGUGUCCAUCAGAACCCAAUGUCGUUCUCCUCUUGAAACCCCAUUAAUAAUAGUUAAUGGGUACCCCAUUUAGACCCUUAAAGGGCUAAGACGUGUCAAAGAGUGUGCCCUAUUCACUCCCCUGCUAACUCAACCAAAGCUAAUUUCCUGAAGUGCUGGUUAUACGCUCAGGGUUUCAUUAAUUCCAAAAGAAAAGUGCACUUCUGCUCCAUUUAUUUUCCCCCACUCUGGUUCUCACCACGAGUCAGCCCAGCCCUCCCUCACGUUGUAAUCAGCGAGGUGGGAGCUUCUGAGAGUCUACACUGCUGCUCUGGAUAGGGAGGGGGUGGCCGGUGGUGUCUUUUUUAAAACCCAAAGGUCAUGUCUGGUUCCCGUGGUCAGCAGAGAGUCUCGAGGGGCCCCCACUUCAAAGCGCUGUGUCGUGUCUUAUCAGAGACGGACGUUCGCUGUGUGCGUCAGAGUCCACACCUCACUCAUGUCUGAUUCGGAUUGAACUCUCGUUUUUCACGUGCAGCCCAGGCCAUGGGGGCUUCAGGUUUCCCAACAUGUUAACCUUGCUGGUUACAAAAACAAAGAAACAAAAGCUGUAUCUCUUCUUCUAAUAAUUAUAAUAAUAAUAAUAAUAAUAAUAGAAAACAUAGCGAGAAUCCCACAUUAUAAUCCACAGUAUAAAUUACAUUGUAGACAGAACUUGGAAAUAUAUAUAGUACAGUUAUAGUUCACUAGAUUUCUUCAAAGUCUUUUUUGUCUUGGUGCCUACACAAUCGGCUAGUUUGCGUGGGUAUGGGUGUGUGUCCAUGUGGUUUCCUGUCGUUUCUCGGCAGGAAAGUGCCCAUGUGUGUGUGUGUGUUCGGUGGGUUGCGGACGUUUUUGCAUGUCUGCGUGUGUGUGUCUGGCAAUGCCUCAACG